GGAAGAGUUGGGACUUGGGGAGGGAAGAGAGCGAUGACGAAAUUGAACGCACGGUAGAACUUUUGCAAAAUUCCAUGCGCUAUACUUACUCUCAAAUAUAAUUUGUAAUGCAGCAUUUGCAGCAGGUGGGGCAGGAGAAUUACAAGUACAAGGAUGAAAUGAUAGAAGUAUGAAUCUGCGUAUAUGUUAAAGAUAUGCAGUCUUGCAAGCAUAAGCGAAAUGCGCCACAGAUCUUUAUGCACACGCACACAUACACACAUAAGAGGAGAAAGGAAAAUGCUAGAACCAAGCAUGAGAGGAAGGCGAAGGGACGAGAACGGGAUGUCCAUUACCUAUACAUAUACGAUCGCACCAGUCGCACGAGCGAGAGAUGCAAAUUGCCAAGAUGGCGACGCCUCGGCGAGUAGAAAGAAAAGAAAGAAACGCAGCAAGCCAGCGAGAAGCUUUCGGUGUGACAAAUCAUCUGCACGCAGCUUGCAGGUAGCAUGUCGAGGAAAAAAUACAAAAAAUACAGGUCCGUGCCCGAGUCUGAUGAAAGCGCAAAGAGGAUCGAAUGUAAUGUGCGUCUUUUAAUAUGCUACUCACCAAUUACUCGAAAUUAAACUUGGCAUUAUGUCGUCCUUUUUACUAGAUUCACAAUUAUUUAAAAAAA
Nasonia vitripennis (jewel wasp) is the source of this 652-nucleotide long non-coding RNA. RefSeq lists it as uncharacterized. The record is from RefSeq and is a predicted model, not a curated record. NCBI's taxonomy places the organism in Eukaryota, Metazoa, Arthropoda, Insecta, Hymenoptera, Pteromalidae. The transcript has 2 exons.